This 789-nucleotide ribosomal RNA is filed under the name Triticum aestivum (bread wheat). RNAcentral describes it as "partial small subunit ribosomal RNA". The record is from RNAcentral. Lineage: Eukaryota; Viridiplantae; Streptophyta; Magnoliopsida; Poales; Poaceae.
AUGCAUGGAGAGUGGAAUGGUCUACAAGCCAAGUUCAUGGAAGAGUGUGCUUACGCAUAUUACAUUCUCUGUUUUGCUCAUCAAUUGCAUCUUGCUAUUGUUGCCGCAUCUAAAGAAGUAGCCGAUGUUCACAACUUUUUUGAUCAUCUUGCUCUUGUUGUCAACACGGUUGUGUCUUCGAGUAAGAGAAAUGAUGAGUUGCAUGCUAAUCAAGUGGCUGAAAUGGAGCAUCUCAUUGAGCUUAGUGAGCUUGAAACCGGAAGUGGGGCUAAUCAAGUUGGAACUUUACAACGGCCUUGUGACACUAGGUGGAGUUCUCACUAUGCUUCUAUCUACAGCCUUUUGAAACUACACAAACCUACAUUCUUGGUACUUAAAAGCAUUGCUACUUCCAAAGGUUCAGGUACAUCACCUUCAGCACGAGCAAAGGCUUCUGGUGCUGUUAAGUUGAUGAUGUGUUUUGACUUCAUAUUUGUUCUUCAUGUCAUGGAAGAACUUAUGGGAAUCACAGACUUGCUAUGCAAAAAGUUGCAACAAAAAUCUCAAGAUAUUGUGAAUGCCAUGGAUGAUGUUAAAACUACAAAAUUGUUGAUUCAGGAACUAAGAAAUAAUGGUUGGAACAAGCUUAAAGCUGAUGUGCUUUCAUUUUGUGGGAAACAUGGAGUUCCAACACCACAUUUUGAUGAACUCUAUGUGGAUUUCAUUAACUCACGUGUGGAUGAUGAAACUACAGUUGAGCAUCAUUAUCGGUGUGACGUUUUCAUGGUUGCUGUUGAUCAGCAAGCAUAA